Molecule: ribosomal RNA, 252 nt
Filed under: uncultured bacterium
Lineage: Bacteria
Description: partial 16S ribosomal RNA
Rfam family: Bacterial small subunit ribosomal RNA
Source: RNAcentral
UACGUAGAUCCCGAGCGCUGUCCGGAUUUGUUGGGCGUAAAGCGAGCGCAGGUGGUUUAUUAAGUCUGGUGUAAAAGGCAGUGGCUCAACCAUUGUAUGCAUUGGAAACUGGUAGACUUGAGUGCAGGAGAGGAGAGUGGAAUUCCAUGUGUAGCGGUGAAAUGCGUAGAUAUAUGGAGGAACACCGGUGGCGAAAGCGGCUCUCUGGCCUGUAACUGACACUGAGGCUCGAAAGCGUGGGGAGCAAACAGG